RNAcentral lists this long non-coding RNA (1016 nucleotides) under Salvia miltiorrhiza (redroot sage). RNAcentral's name for it is "long non-coding RNA (SMIL_LNC006389)". Lineage: Eukaryota; Viridiplantae; Streptophyta; Magnoliopsida; Lamiales; Lamiaceae. The record is from RNAcentral.
AUCGGCCCAAAUCAGUUUUUGUUUUUAAAAAAAAUACUAGCCCAAAGUUGGGGCCCAAUUAGCAAUUAAACUCUUCUCUCUCUUAUACCUCACGCCUCUCUCUCAUUUCUCCUCACAAACUCACGCACACACACAAAAAAAAACGCACACCUCUCUCACUCUCGUUCAAGAUCUGCCGCCUCUGUCUGCGGCCGGCGAAGGAUCCGGCGCAACCGCCGUCGUCCUGCUCCUCCCUUCCUCCAACUCUCUCUUCUCCUUCAUCCUGAACGCACACACCCAUCUCAUCCCUCUCUCGCUCUCGUUCUUGAUUCCGGCGUCGCGCCGCCGCGCUGCUCCGCCGGCAGUUGCCAGUGAAGCCGCCGCCGCCUGGAGUUGUUGAUUCUUCGCCUGAGGUCGACGGAUCUGGCCUUCAGCCGUUCGUCUCGCUCGGAGCUCCCGCCGCCGUUGGCUUGCCCGGAGUCGCCGCCGACUGCAGCUGCUUCGCCGGAGUCGCGGCCUGGAGUUGCUGCAGGCUCGUCCGGUGGUCAGUGGCUCGCUGGAGGAGCGCCGCCGCCGGCCGCUGCUGUUGGCAGCAAGAGCCCGGCAGCCGCCUCUCCCGGAUAGGUUCGUAAAUUUGAAUAAUUUUCAGAAAACUCAACUGUAAAGACUUGAUUUUGAAAUGAAAACCUGGUUUUCUGUAUUCCUAGUGAGAUACAAAUUCUAAUUCUGAUUUCUUGUGAAAGCUUUGAUGCGUAUACAAAUUCUGUAAACUGUAAACAAAAUCAUAUGUGAUCUCAUUCUUGUUGAAUUUCUGGAUAAUGCUAUGUAUGAAAAGGAAGAAAGUUGCGAGUAAUACCUUCACCGAAUCUUGUCAAAAGAAAACUCUGCGUUUAAGAAUUUGCUUGUUUUAGAGCUAAAGUGUUUGGAUGAAUUUAUAGAUGGGUCUCUGCGACAAUGAAAUCUAUGACUAUGGAAAAUUUUGUAGGAGUAGGUGAGUGAACGUCGGCUGAUUUUGAAAAUGUAGGAUUUGCUGCGGC